This is a non-coding RNA of Mauremys mutica (yellowpond turtle), 682 nucleotides long. NCBI's taxonomy places the organism in Eukaryota, Metazoa, Chordata, Testudines, Geoemydidae. The record is from the annotation of a RefSeq genome assembly.
GCAAAAGUCAAAUCUCUGUCACUCCCUUUGGGUCUUCGUGCCUGUUCCUAGCUGAUUUCCAGGAGGGAAGAUGAAAACUUUGCUUCUCUCUCUCCUUCUCUUUGCUAUUGCAGCAUGUGUCCGUUCCCAGGUUACACUGCUGCAGACCGGAGCAGCCCAGGUGAAGCCCUCACAGACCCUGAGACUGACCUGCUCCGUGUCUGGAUUCUCUCUCACGUCUAGCGGGUAUGGAGUGAGCUGGGUUCGACAGCCCCCGGGGAAAGGCCUGGAGUGGUUAUCCGCUGUGUAUUGGGAUGAUAACAAAUAUUACCAGGAGUCUCUGAAAAACCGACUGACCAUCUCGAGGGACACCUCUAAAAGCGAGGUGUAUUUGGAAAUGAUAGGCAUGGAAGCCGGAGACAGCGGCACCUAUUACUGCGCCAGAGACACAGUGACACAGACCUCCGGGUUCGCCUUCAGCAGUUAUCUCAUGGAUUGGAUCCGUCUGGCCCCUGGGAGGGGGCUGGAGUGGCUGGCCAGAGCUGCUGCCCAGGGGAGCGCCUACUACGCUGAUUCCGUGAAAGGGCGAUUCACCAUCUCCAGAGAUAACGCCAACAGCCUGGUGCAUUUGCAAAUCAGCGGCCUGAGAGCGGAGGACACCGCGCGGUAUUACUGUGUCAGAGACACACAGCCAGCGACCUAG